AGACUCGUUGAGUUCACUCUCUGUCUCUGUCUUCUUCGCUUGAGCUUGAUCGACGCUCUUACAUCCGCCGUUUACAGUUCCGAUCAGUAAGACAUGAGUCAUAACCCGGAGGUUCUUUGGGCUCAGCGGUCUGAUAAGGUUUACCUAACCGUCGCCUUACCUGAUGCAAAGGACAUUUCAGUCAAAUGUGAGCCUCAGGGCCUAUUCACUUUCUCUGCUCUUGGCACCCUAGGCAAGCUCUUUGAGUUCAGCUUGGAGCUAUAUGGGAAGGUUGUGCCAGAGUAUAGGAAGAACGUUACAAACUGGAACCUCUUACAUCAAAGUAGACUGGAACAAAUGGUGUGAUGAGGAUGAGGAGGUCAACUCUGAGACAGCCUGAUGAUGAGAGUGCAUUUGUUGAUGAAGAUUGUGAGAGCAGUGAUGAUGAUGAAUUGCUUUGUAAGUUUCAACAACCUUAAUCUUCUUACUUUUAAGGUUUUACAAAUUUAAUAUUUUUUUUCUUAAGGAUUUUAUAUUGGGUAACACCAUUGCACAUAUAUUUUAGAGAAAAGUCCUUAACUAUUUAAAAAGCAAAAAAUAUAUAUAUUAUAUAGCUAAAGACUCCAAUGGUGGGUAACACCAUUGGAGUUGCUCUCAUAUAUCUAUAGGAAUUUUAAUGUUUGUGCCAAUUCUUUUGCAAAAUUGUCUAGAACGUGAAUUUUAUUAUUUUCCUCUAGAAGACAGAAGAUCAUUAUUCUUUGGAACAUAUUUUCUUCGGACCAAUAUUUGUUUUAAUUAAAUGCCGGCUAGUUGACAAAAAAAUAAACAAUGCAUUGUAGUACUGUAAAUUAUUAUGGAUGAAACGUAUUGAGGAAAUAUUUUUAACCAAAACACAUUCUUACUUUUAUUUUCGAGGCAAGAAAUGCUAGAUAGGUGUAUAUACACUGUCUGAUACCA
This is a long non-coding RNA of Brassica oleracea var. oleracea, 936 nucleotides long. RefSeq lists it as uncharacterized. The record is from RefSeq and is a predicted model, not a curated record. NCBI's taxonomy places the organism in Eukaryota, Viridiplantae, Streptophyta, Magnoliopsida, Brassicales, Brassicaceae. The transcript has 5 exons.